Long non-coding RNA from Aethalodelphis obliquidens (Pacific white-sided dolphin), 3648 nucleotides. RefSeq lists it as uncharacterized. The transcript has 2 exons. Lineage: Eukaryota; Metazoa; Chordata; Mammalia; Artiodactyla; Delphinidae. The record is from RefSeq and is a predicted model, not a curated record.
CACCAUUGUAAAGCAAUUAUACUCUAAUAAAGAUGUUAAAAAAAGAAUUCUCAACCACUUGUCUAGUAUAUAUUGAUUGAAACCAUUUGUAAAUUACUCCAUCUGUCAAUGAAAUGCAAACACCUCUGUAGUGAAACUAAACAGCUGUUUAAAUGCUCAAAGCUUUAAUAGACAAAGAAAUCCUCUUCCUUAACACUGGUUCUAUUUAUACUAUUCCAAAACAACAACUCAUUUAGGGAAAAAUCCAGUAUUUCCAGGUGUAUAAACACAACCAUUAUUUAUAAGGCGAUUUAUAAGAAGACGGAGACUAACCACUUCCCAGUUGAGGAAUUGCUAAGCACUAGAAUUAGGAAAGUUAGGCUCCUGUGUGUGUGUGUGUGUGUGUGUGUGUGUGUGUGUGUGUGUGUGUGUGUGUUUAUGUUGUGUGUAUUUGGUGGAUUCAGAAUUAUUUGUAUUUGUGGGCUACACUUAAAAUUCACAAUUGCUCGGGCACCCUUUAUUGCACAAAAUCCACAAACGAGCUUGGAAUAAAUAAAAGUCUUACAAGCAGUAGACUUGUAAAUUAUAAAUUGUAAUUUAUAAUUCUUAACAGUCUAUUUAUACCAUACAGGAAUUUGCAAAUAUUUUCCAUUUAAACAAAGACAUACCUUCGUCAUAUUUUCUUAGUUAUUUCCUUAUUAACUAAGGAGGAAAUUGAGUACCAUGUAGCCUCUGGACUCUGACGGCCUGGGUUUGAAUACCAGCUCCACUGAUGACUGCCUAUGUAGCACUGGGCAAGGUAUUUCUCCUAGCUAAGCCUCAGUUUUCACACCUGUCAAAUGGCAAAAAUAAUAUAUCUCACAGAGUAAUUGUGAGGACUAAAAGAAUUUAAAAUUUGUAAAAGUGAAUUUGUAAGAAUUUAAAAAUGUAAAUCAUUUGAUGCAAUGCUUGUCACACAGCACUUAAUACAAGUUAUAUAUUAUUUUAAAUCAUGAAGCCUUUUGCUGGGUUUAAUAUUGAUGAUCCUCAAUUAAUUUUCACCUCUUGUCACUUUUGGCAAUAAAUGAUUAUUCACAUAGAACUUCUUGAAAUGAAAACUGCUGCCAAUCACUGUCUCAUUCAUAUAACAACUAGGUCAUUCAACAGUCAAUUAUUUUUAAUUAGUUGUGACUAUAAUUUACAGUUAAUGUAUACCUGCAGGAAGCUUGGGAGGCUGAGCUGUUUAAAACCUGUCACUUCACAAAAGGUACAAACUUUUAGUUAUAUGAUAAAUAAGUACUAGGGAUGUAAUGCAGUACUAGGAUGUAACGUACCAUGAUAAAUAUACUUAGCACUGCUGUAUGUUAUAUCUGAAAGUUGUUAGAGAGUAAAUCAUGAGUUUUCAUCACAAGGAAAACAUUUUCCUAUUUCUUUAAUUUUGUAUUGACACGAGAUGAUGGGUGUUCACUGAACUUAUUGUGGUGAUCAUUUCAUGAUGUAUGUAAGACAAAUCAUUAUGCUUACAUCUUGAAUUUAACCAGUGCUGUGUAUCAAUUUCAUCUCAAUACAACUGGAAGAUAGAUAGAUAGAUGAUAGAUAGAUCGAUAGAUAGAUAGAUAGGUAGACAGAUAAAGCCAGCCACUUCAUAGUAGCUAUCAGUUGGGUCCUGGCAGGAAACAGGUGACAUAUUCAAACUGAGUAUGGAGAAGAGUUUAGUAAAGAACUAUGUACAAAGUUGUGGGCAGGUUUAGGGGAAAAGAGUGAUAAUGAAGUGCCCUAGAGUUUAUAAAUAUGGGAGAGCAGUUACCACUUCUAAGUCUGAAAGUGCAGGGGGAGGAUGUGGCCUCAGGAACAUAGUGUGGAUAGCUGUUCAGAGAGGACCCCCCGACAGGGGCUGUCACUUUUGGUAUUGAGAUAUAGCUAAUGCUGCUCUGGGAAGGAGUUGGGAGUAAAUACACCAGCCUCACUCUCUUUCUGCCCUUUUAACCCCCUCCCAUUGCUUCCAACUGGUCAGACCUAACUUGAGAAGUCUGAGGUCAAGAGAGCCUGCUCAUGAAGUCCAUGCAGGUCAGUCUUGUACAGCCCAGAACCUUGAAGAGUAGAUUUGGAAGAACGAACAGAAAGCAGCCAGUAUCACCGUUACUGAAGUUGUCCCAUAGCUGAUGAGGGAACUCUUAAAAUUGACUUGGAACACAAGCCCAGCCCUUGUGCUCAACUAGAAGGUGCAGAACUCUGGACUUACUAGACAUGCAUGCAGAGGGGUUCCAUGAGGAAAAUCCUGGCUUGCUUGCAGGUCGUUUUCAUGUGGAGACAGGGUAGACUUUUACCAGGCAAAGGUACUACUAGGCUUUGUGAACUUCAAUCCAUUAAGUCCCCAGAUAAGAAAAACAAUUUGAUCCAGCUAGGGAUUUCGUGUCUAGGUGAGACAAGCCAGACUGUAAACCCACAGUGAGUAAUCAGUAAGUGCUCUGAAGAUCACAAUUUGGGGUCACACAGUUUACCUGAUUUCUGAGAUGGGUUCUGUGGUAGGUACUGUAUUUUGUGUCCUCCAGCCCCAUAGAGUCUUGUGAUGCCCUGAAGCCCCAGCCUUGGGAGAGACCCUGAGCCAGAACAACCCAGCUAAGAUGCUCCUGGCUUCCUGACUCUCAGAAACUGUAUGAGGUGAUAAGGUUUGUUGUUAUUCAGCAAUGAACAACUCCUACAAUAACAUACAAAACUUUUUGUAAAGGUCAAAGGCAUUCAUUAUAAACUGAUCAAGGGGUGGUCGUAAAAGCAGAGUGAGCAUGAAACCUAGGAGAAAGGAAGCAGAUUGGCUGGGAAAAGUAGACUUAGCUGUAACGGACAACUAGAGUAAGGCAAAACCAACUAGAUGUUCAAGUAAUGUAUAGCUACUAACAGAGAGACAUAAAGACACAGUUUCUGAGCAUUUACCCUGUAUAUUAUUUACUCUUUGCAAAAAUUCUGCGGUUCUGUGAUACACAUUGCUACCUUUAUUUUACAGGGGAAGACACUCAGGGUCAAGAGUAGAAACACGUGCUUCAGAGUCACACAGACAAGAGAUAAUAGAGCUCGGAUUAGAACCCAAGCCAGUCUGGCCCCAGAGUUCACGUUCUCUCUGUGCUUCUCUGUGCAGGAGUAAAGAAAAGGAAUAUUGGACAAGGGAGGUCAUAUUGGGAGAUAAAGUAAGAUAACAAAACAGUCAUGGGAAAAUUCUUCAGUCUUUUGGAAGGAGUCGGGGAAACUGCCUGUGGUGAAAACAAAACUAAACCCCGCAAAAACAUAUGGCUGAUUAAAAGGAGGAAGCUCACUAGAGAACAGAAGAUAUUUUGGGUGAUAAUAGAGCUUAGAGUGAAAGAAGCCCCAUCUGUAGUCAUCUCUUCAAGGCCAGAUCUAAAUAUGCAGAAUAUGGGUGGCUCCUCCCCCACCCCCAAGGGGUACACCAGGGAAAAGCACACCACCUAGAGUAACAUGUAAACACACAAGCACAGCAGAGACAACACUCCCUGGCUGUGAGCAGAUGGGGAGGAGAGCAGGUCUCGGGAAGUUCUCCAGCAGGAAAGUGAAAGAAGUAUUUGGACUGUUGUUCUGCAUACAGAGCAGAAAAGUACAUCAAGCUGCUUUUCAGUUUCUAUGGAAAGGUGCCUCCACCCUCUCUUUCAACUUGAGAUCCGGACACGUCUGUCUUCAGAG